CGUUUAUUUGAUAGUACCUUACUACUUGGAUAACCGUGGUAAUUCUAGAGCUAAUACAUGCUGAAAACCCCAACUUCGGGAGGGGUGUAUAUAUUAGAUAAAAAACCAACGCCCUUCGGGGCUUCUUGGUGAUUCAUGAUAUCUUUACGGAUCGCAUGGCCUUGCGCCGGCGACGGUUCAUUCAAAUUUCUGCCCUAUCAACUUUCGAUGGUAAGGUAUUGGCUUACCAUGGUUUCAACGGGUAACGGGGAAUUAGGGUUCGAUUCCGGAGAGGGAGCCUGAGAAACGGCUACCACAUCCAAGGAAGGCAGCAGGCGCGCAAAUUACCCAAUCCCGACACGGGGAGGUAGUGACAAUAAAUACUGAUACAGGGCUCUUUUGGGUCUUGUAAUUGGAAUGAGUACAAUUUAAACCUCUUAACGAGGAACAAUUGGAGGGCAAGUCUGGUGCCAGCAGCCGCGGUAAUUCCAGCUCCAAUAGCGUAUAUUAAAGUUGUUGCAGUUAAAAAGCUCGUAGUUGAACCUUGGGUCUGGGUGGCAGGUCCGCCUCACCGCGUGUACUUGUCCGGCCGGGCCUUCCUUCUGGAGAACCUCAUGCCCUUCACUGGGCGUGUUGGGGACCAGGACUUUUACUUUGAAAAAAUUAGAGUGUUCAAAGCAGGCCUUUGCUCGAAUACGUUAGCAUGGAAUAAUAGAAUAGGACGUGCGGUCCUAUUUUGUUGGUUUCUAGGACCGCCGUAAUGAUUAAUAGGGACAGUCGGGGGCAUCAGUAUUCAAUUGUCAGAGGUGAAAUUCUUGGAUUUAUUGAAGACUAACUACUGCGAAAGCAUUUGCCAAGGAUGUUUUCAUUAAUCAGUGAACGAAAGUUAGGGGAUCGAAGACGAUCAGAUACCGUCGUAGUCUUAACCGUAAACUAUGCCGACUAGGGAUCGGGCGAUGUUCUUUUUCUGACUCGCUCGGCACCGCACGAGAAAUCAAAGAGCUCGGGGUCGGGGGGGAGCACGGACGCAAGGCUGAAACACAAAGAAAAAGACGGAAGGGCACCACCAGGCGCGGAGC
RNAcentral lists this ribosomal RNA (1058 nucleotides) under Phoma sp. RNAcentral's name for it is "SSU rRNA". It matches the Rfam family "Eukaryotic small subunit ribosomal RNA", at positions 114 to 1182 of the family's 1831-position model. Lineage: Eukaryota; Fungi; Ascomycota; Dothideomycetes; Pleosporales; Didymellaceae. The record is from RNAcentral.